RNAcentral lists this ribosomal RNA (387 nucleotides) under Gephyrocapsa sp. Its description in RNAcentral is "partial small subunit ribosomal RNA". It matches the Rfam family "Eukaryotic small subunit ribosomal RNA", at positions 582 to 975 of the family's 1831-position model. The record is from RNAcentral. Lineage: Eukaryota; Haptophyta; Isochrysidales; Noelaerhabdaceae.
AUUCCAGCUCCAAUAGCGUAUAUUAAAGUUGUUGCAGUUAAAACGCUCGUAGUCGGAUUUCGGGGCGGGCCGACCGGUCUGCCGAUGGGUAUGCACUGGCCGGCGCGUCCUUCCACCCGGAGACCGCGCCUACUCUUAACUGAGCGGGCGCGGGAGACGGGUCUUUUACUUUGAAAAAAUCAGAGUGUUUCAAGCAGGCAGUCGCUCUUGCAUGGAUUAGCAUGGGAUAAUGAAAUAGGACUCUGGUGCUAUUUUGUUGGUUUGCACAUUUAGAGAAUGAUUAACAGGGACAGUUGGGGGUAUUCAUAUUUACAUGUCAGAGGUGAAAUUCUUGGAUUUUGGAAAGAUGAACUACUGCGAAGGCAUUUACCAAGGAUAUUUUCAUUA